UGGGGAAUAUUGGGCAAUGGGCGAAAGCCUGACCCAGCCACGCCGCGUGAGUGAUGAAGGCCUUCGGGUCGUAAAGCUCUGUGGGGAGGGACGAAUAAGUGCCGUACUAACACUACGGCGCCCUGACGGUACCUCCUUAGCAAGCACCGGCUAACCAUGUGCCAGCAGCCGCGGUAAUACAUGGGGUGCAAACGUUGCUCGGAAUUAUUGGGCGUAAAGCGCGCGUAGGCGGUUACUCAAGUCGGAUGUGAAAGCCCUCGGCUUAACUGAGGAAGUGCACCCGAAACUGAGUAGCUAGAGUACUAAAGAGGGUCGCGGAAUUCCCGGUGUAGAGGUGAAAUUCGUAGAUAUCGGGAGGAACACCGGUGGCGAAGGCGGCGACCUGGGUAGAUACUGACGCUGAGGCGCGAAAGCGUGGGGAGCAAACAGGAUUAGAUACCCCCGUAGUCC
This 450-nucleotide ribosomal RNA is filed under the name uncultured bacterium. RNAcentral's name for it is "bacterial SSU rRNA". It matches the Rfam family "Bacterial small subunit ribosomal RNA", at positions 355 to 796 of the family's 1533-position model. The record is from RNAcentral.